Molecule: non-coding RNA, 336 nt
Rfam family: Bacterial RNase P class A
About the family: Ribonuclease P (RNase P) is a ubiquitous endoribonuclease, found in archaea, bacteria and eukarya as well as chloroplasts and mitochondria. Its best characterised activity is the generation of mature 5'-ends of tRNAs by cleaving the 5'-leader elements of precursor-tRNAs. Cellular RNase Ps are ribonucleoproteins.
Source: Rfam
AGAGUAGACUGAGCAGUCGCGUGAUUCACUUCACGAGGAAAGUCCGAGCUCCAUAGGGUAAGGAUGCCAGGUAAUGCCUGGUGGAGGCAACUCCAAGGAUAGUGCAACAGAGAUAAACCGCCAUUAUGGUAAGGGUGGAAAGGUGGGGUAAGAGCCCACCAGCAGUUAGGUAACUAACUGGCUAUGUAAACCCCAUCCGGAGCAAGACCAAGCAGGGGCCGAUAUAAAGAUAACCCGUCUUUGUCCCGUAGGUAGGUCGCUAGAGGCUACUGGCGACAGUAGUCGUAGAUAGAUGACUGUUCAAGACAGAACUCGGCUUAUAGGCCUGCUCAUUUU